Molecule: unclassified non-coding RNA, 376 nt
Filed under: plant metagenome
Description: partial contains 5.8S ribosomal RNA, internal transcribed spacer 2, and large subunit ribosomal RNA
Rfam family: 5.8S ribosomal RNA (bases 1-107)
Source: RNAcentral
AAAAUGCGAUACUUGGUGUGAAUUGCAGAAUCCCGUGAACCAUCGAGUUUUUGAACGCAAGUUGCGCCCGAAGCCAUCCGGCUGAGGGCACGCCUGCCUGGGCGUCACGCAUCGCGUCGCUCCCCACCAUACCUCCCCAACGGGUUGGCAUGGUGUUGGGGGCGGAUAAUGGCCUCCCGUGCUUGUGUUUCGGUUGGCCUAAAUAAGAGUUCCCUUCGGCGGACACACGACUAGUGGUGGUUGAAUAGACCCUCGUCUUUUGUUGCGUGUCGUGAGCUGUAAGGGUAGCCCUCAUCAAAGACCCCAUUGUAUCGUCUUCGGAUGAUGCUUCGACCGCGACCCCAGGGCAGGCGGGACAACCCGAUGAGUUUAAGCA